This is a non-coding RNA of Cinara cedri, 248 nucleotides long. NCBI's taxonomy places the organism in Eukaryota, Metazoa, Arthropoda, Insecta, Hemiptera, Aphididae. The record is from the annotation of a GenBank genome assembly.
CCGUGGUGACAAUCGUCCAUGAAUCACUCCCGCAUCUCAAACAGCCAAAACCGGCGGUCAUUGACAAUGGUUUCAGUUUAAAUUUUAUCAAAUUUUAUAUAAGUAACAUUUUAUGCAGGCCAAAAACCGAUUUAAAAAAAUUAGACUGUCAAAUUAUAGUCUGAAUCCUUCAAAUAACGUCUCUGUAUUCAACGCCGCCAUCACUGAAUGGAAAUCACCAUCUGGUCUGGCAAUGUUACUAAGUCGUU